This 594-nucleotide ribosomal RNA is filed under the name Aspergillus niger. RNAcentral describes it as "eukaryotic LSU rRNA". It matches the Rfam family "Eukaryotic large subunit ribosomal RNA", at positions 39 to 648 of the family's 3401-position model. Lineage: Eukaryota; Fungi; Ascomycota; Eurotiomycetes; Eurotiales; Aspergillaceae. The record is from RNAcentral.
CAUAUCAAUAAGCGGAGGAAAAGAAACCAACCGGGAUUGCCUCAGUAACGGCGAGUGAAGCGGCAAGAGCUCAAAUUUGAAAGCUGGCUCCUUCGGAGUCCGCAUUGUAAUUUGCAGAGGAUGCUUUGGGUGCGGCCCCCGUCUAAGUGCCCUGGAACGGGCCGUCAGAGAGGGUGAGAAUCCCGUCUUGGGCGGGGUGUCCGUGCCCGUGUAAAGCUCCUUCGACGAGUCGAGUUGUUUGGGAAUGCAGCUCUAAAUGGGUGGUAAAUUUCAUCUAAAGCUAAAUACUGGCCGGAGACCGAUAGCGCACAAGUAGAGUGAUCGAAAGAUGAAAAGCACUUUGAAAAGAGAGUUAAACAGCACGUGAAAUUGUUGAAAGGGAAGCGCUUGCGACCAGACUCGCCCGCGGGGUUCAGCCGGCAUUCGUGCCGGUGUACUUCCCCGUGGGCGGGCCAGCGUCGGUUUGGGCGGCCGGUCAAAGGCCCCUGGAAUGUAGUGCCCUCCGGGGCACCUUAUAGCCAGGGGUGCAAUGCGGCCAGCCUGGACCGAGGAACGCGCUUCGGCACGGACGCUGGCAUAAUGGUCGUAAACGAC